GAUGGCCUGGGGCUGGGUGCUCAGUUGCCUCCACAGCCUGGAGCAAGGCAGCCAAUCAUUAACCCGCCAGAGCUGCAGGGCGCACGCGUCUCCCCAGGGCAGCUGGGUGGCCAGGCUGUCUCUGGGCUUAGAUGUACUUGGCUCGGGUACACUGGGCAGCUGCUCUGCUCUGGGUAAAAGCGCAGGGAUCCUCCUGCGCUGGUGGUUGGGGUCUCCCAGCAGGUCAGGCCCACCUCCCCCCCUGGAGAGUUGGCACCUUUGCUGGGGCUGUACCAGGAAGCCCUCCUCAAUGGCACCUGGGCCGCCUCUGGCCUCUAGGUCCUUCUGCUUGGCUUCCGGCUAGUCCCUGCUGGGCUGCCUGCUCAGAGAGGCCUUCCUGGGUCACCCUCACCCUACCCCAUGCCCUGCUCCUUUCCUAGUACUCCGGCCUCUGGGUCGCCAGCAACCCCUGCCCUGAUGUGUCCAGCCCCCAAGCCUCCUCAUCAUCUGGUUCCCUCAGGGCCUUCCCAUCUCCAGGGUCUGGAGCUGCCCUGGCUCUCAGAGGGCACUCAGAAGAGAGCUGGGGCCCGAAGUGGGCAGGGAGGACGGAGGACAGAGGGGUCCUUCUGCCCCAACUCUGGCCUCAGAGCCCUGGGUCCGAGGCACCAGCCAGUCCUUUUUUGUAAAGCUGGGUUGGGACCCAGGACCUGCUUGGAAUUCUCAGGGGGAGGGAGGGGCUGGGGGGGGGUGGUCACGAGGCCGGCGGUGGCACCAGCAUCCGGAAGUUUGGGUUGGGAGCCAGGCUUCGACAGCCAUCUUGAGCCCCAGCGAGUAAGGCAGGGCGGGCCUGAGGGCUGCCGGCCUUCCGCCCAGCGUGGGUGGGGGCACGGUCUGAUGGCCUGGCCCGGCACCUGCGGGGACCCGGAGGAAGGGAGGAGAGGGGCCUCACCUGUGGGGUCUCCACCCCCAGCGCCCUCCAGGGUCCUGGUGCCGCCUGGGGCGGGGGAAGGGUGGUCCGGGCUGUCUCUGGGGCCGCUGCCAGCAGAGGCUGCUCUUCCGUGGCCUGGGCUGGGAGUUGGGGGCCGGGGCUGCUUUUCUAAAGUCCUCUCCUCUUCCCCCCUCCGGAUAGGUGGGGGCAGCAAGGGACGAGGUCACCCCCCGGAGAGGCUUCCGGAGGGGCUCCAGACCUGCGGCCCCCAGGUCUCUCCUGGCCCAGUGGUGGUGCCAACGGCCCAGCGGCUGCAGCACCUAUGCCCAGACCCUCAGCGUGGGGCCCCCGCAGGCCCCCGCACCCGCACACCUGUCAUGCACGGAAGCCUCACACACUUUAUUUCACCAGCAGUCCUUUGUGUCUGCGAUAGAAAGGCCACCUUGGGGUCCCGGGGCGCCCCGGGUCAGGGCCACGGGGGCUGGGAGGUCAUGGGGUGGCCUGUGCCCUGGGGGCCCACGAGGGCCUGGGCCUGGGCAAGAGUGCACUGUCGGUUCAGGGCCACUGCUGGGUCCGAUGGGCCCCUGGCCUCCCCUCCACGCGGCAUCUGGCGAGGGGCCCUCCUCGGGCGGCAGUCGGGCCAGGAAUGGGGUAUUUUCUAAUGUACCAUUCCUAGUGUCAUCUCUUUAAUUAUGUUUUUAAAUUAUUUUCUUAGUUGCUGCCCUCAGGAUUACCGUUAAUAUCUUAAGUUGUAACAAUCUCUUUCAGAUUAAUACCAAGUUUUUGUUUUUGUUUUUUUUCUUUUUUUGUCUUUUUAGGGCUGCACCCCCGCAGCACUUGGAGGUUCCCAGGCUAGGGGUCAAAUCGGAGCUGCAGCUGCCGGCCUACACCACAGCCACAGCAACACCGGAUCCGAGCCGCAUCUUCGACCUCCACCACAGCUGUCGGCAACGCCGGAUCCUUAACCCACUGAGUGAAGCCAGGGGUCGAACCCACAACCCCAUGGUUCCUAGUUGGAUUCGUUUCCACUGCACCAGGACGGGCAAUCCAGAUGACAAUUUUUUUUCAGCAUUUUGAAUGUGUCAUCCCACUGCCUUCUGGACUCCGUGGUUUUGGAUGUGAUACUGGCUGUUGACCUCACCCAGGGUCCUUUACGACGAGUGGCUUCUGUUCGCUGCUUCCGACACUGGCUCCUGGUCUUUGUCUUUUGAAAGGUUAUGCUGUGGUGGAUCUUUUCCAUUUACCCUAGUUGGAGCUCACUGACCUUCUUGAAUGUGUAGAUUAUUUCUCAUCAAAUUUGGGGAGUUAUCUGCCGUUAUCUUCUCAAAAACUCUUCUCACCUCUGUCCCUCCUUUCUUUCUGGAUUCUCCUUCUGCUGGUCUGCUCCACGGUGCCCACAGUCUCUGCAGCUUGAUUUUCCGCCAUUCCUUUUACUUUCUUUUUCUUUUCAUCUUUUUAGGGCCACACUCACGGCAUAUGGAGGUUCCCAGGUUAGGGGUCCAAUUGGAGCUAAAGCUGACGGCCUACAACCACAGCCCACAGCAACACUGGAUCCUUAGCCCACUGAGCAAGGCCAGAGAUCGAACCUGCGUCCUCAUGGGUCUAGUCAGAUUCACUUCUACUGAGCCAUGACAGGGACUCCACUCCUUUUACUUUCUGUUCCUUAGACUGGAUAAUCUCAACUGCCUUAUCUUUCAAUAACUCACAUGUCCUGUUGUGCCUCUCUAGCGAUUUUUUAUUUCAGUUAUUGUAUGUUUCAACUCCAGAAUCUCUCUUUGGCUUCAUUUUAUAAUUUCUAUCUCUUUACUGAUAUCCCAUCUUUGGUAAGACGUGGUUCUUCUAUUUUCCUUCAGUUCUUUUCAAGUGAGGUCUUCCAAGGAACCACAGGACACAUCACCACAAAGGGCCACGAUUCUUGCCAGACAGGGACAUCCUGCUGUCUCCAGCCCUGAGCAUGCAGGCUUGGAAGUGAGGACAAAAGUAGGGCAAGUUAAACUGCUACAAAGCUUGCUGCUGUUACCAAGAGUCAAGAUUUGGCUUGAAGACACCCUCUUCGGGCCACUGAACAUCAGAGUUCCGAGAAGGUUGAUGCUGAGAGGCUGGGCCAGGUUUUGGUUGGUUGUAUGGAGCGGCUCGUCUCCAGGUGCCCUUCCUCUGCCAGUUGUGCGAUGCCCUCCCUGUCUUUCUUGAACCUGCUCCACAUGGCUUCUCCCUGCUGUUUCCCUGAAAUGCUUGCGAGGCUUGUCAGUGACCUCCUUGGCACCAAACCCAGAGGGCGGUCAGCUUUCUUCUCCCUGACCUGUCAGCCAACCUCAGACACAGCCCCCCACUCCCUGCGGCUUCCAGGACCUUGCCCCCUCCCUCUUAGCGCACCCCCCCCCCGCCCCGGCUUCCCACCACUGCUCUCUGGAGGCCCAGGGCUUGGCCUGAGGCUCUGCUCUUUCACCUGCACCCACUGGCGAUGGAUGUCUCCUGACUUUAAAUUCCAACUAUGUGCUUAAGAGUCCACAUCCAACAUCCAGCCCUGAUCGCUCCCCUGAACCUGAACCCUGGCCUAUAACACCCCAUCUGCAAGCUCACAGCUACCUCAGACCCCCACGGCCAUCUUCUCCUGGGCUGCCAGGGGCUCCAUCCUUCCAGAGUCUCAGACCAAACACCUGGGAAGACCCUUCCUUCCUGCUUCAUCUUCUCCAUCAGCACGUGCGGCGUCAUGCCCAGUACAAGGUGUCCGAUGGCUCAUAUGUCCCUCUUGUGUCUCUCUCCCCUGUGAGGGAGCUGCUGGAAGGCGGAGACCCCUCGUAAGCCCUCUCCACUCUCCCCCCCAGUACCUGCCACACAAGAGGAAUCCACACAUGUGCUGCAGGAUAAAACGAGAGUGAAGGGCUCUCUGUGAGCCUGAGACUCUGAAACGUGAACGUGUGGGCAGGUGUGGGAACGCAGGCGAGGGGUGUCACUGCAGCUCUCCAAGCUUGGCGAGUAUAAUCAGGGCCCACAGGUGACACCAGUGCCCCCUCCCUGCCCCACCCACAGAAACGGAUGCAGGAGAUCAUGGCCCACUGCUUCCUGGCUGUCAAAUCCAAGCUCGAGUGCAAGCUAGGCUACUUCGACCUCAUUGGCUGCGACUUCCUGAUCGAUGAAAACUUUAAGGUGCUGCUGAGGUGUCCCUCGGGGGUGGGGCCUGGCAGGCAGGUACAAGGAGCAGGGGCCCUCAGCGUGCACCCUGACCACCGAGGCGGGCACCCAGCGUGGGCAGUCAGGUGCCCUCCCUAGCCCUGGGGGUGGUGUGCAUAAGGUUUUGCUCCUCCUGCACCUGGGAAGCCCCGAAGGCCUGACCCUCAGACCCCCAGAGUCUAAGCCCCUUAGGCAAAUGGGGGACCGAGGCCAUGAAAGGGAAGCAACCUGCCCAUGUCACUUGUCUUAAUGGGGACCAGGGCCUUGGCCUCCCGCUGGCCAAGUGAUAAGCCGGGAGGGGUGCUAACCAGCGCUGGGUCCAGGUGUGGCUGCUGGAGAUGAACUCCAACCCUGCCCUGCACACCAACUGCCAAGUCUUGAAGGAGGUGAUUCCUGGCGUGGUCAUGGAGACCCUGGACCUGGCGCUUGAGACCUUCCGGAAGAGCCUGCGCAGCGAGAAGAUGCUGCCGCUGCUGACCCAGCGGCGCUUCGUGCUCCUGCACAACGGCGAGGCGGACCUGUGGCCGCGCCCCGGGGGCUCCCGCAGCGUCCCCCGCCCGCCCGCCCGCGACUCCACGGCCUCCGCGCCACCCCCGC
This 4675-nucleotide long non-coding RNA is filed under the name Sus scrofa (pig). The record is from RNAcentral. Lineage: Eukaryota; Metazoa; Chordata; Mammalia; Artiodactyla; Suidae.